Long non-coding RNA from Cornus florida, 332 nucleotides. RefSeq lists it as uncharacterized. The record is from RefSeq and is a predicted model, not a curated record. The transcript has 3 exons. Lineage: Eukaryota; Viridiplantae; Streptophyta; Magnoliopsida; Cornales; Cornaceae.
UUUACCCCAUCUCCACCCCGUCCCCGGCGGGUUUUCAAAACUUACCCCAUCCCCAUCCUCGUUUACAUAAAAGGGUCCCCAUCCCUGCGCGGGGAGGGGGAAUUUGCCAUCCCUACUUCAGUUUCCAUAGCUGUUCCAGUUUGGGUUCGCCGUUCGCAAGCUUCAGCCUCUAUCCCGCUGUCUCUCAACUCUCAAGCCCUCUCUCUCUGGAAUUGCUAACUUGUGCAUUUCAUCAAUUGGCUUCAUUUCUUCAAACUAUGUGAUAUACCCAAAAGUCUUCCAAAGGGGCUGGGAAAAGACAACGACGGAAGCGUCAAUUGCAUGGCCUAUCA